AGAGUUUGAUUCUGGCUCAGGAUGAACGCUAGCUACAGGCUUAACACAUGCAAGUCGAGGGGCAGCAUGGUCUUAGCUUGCUAAGGCCGAUGGCGACCGGCGCACGGGUGAGUAACGCGUAUCCAACCUGCCUUACACUCUUGGACAGCCUUCUGAAAGGGAGAUUAAUACAAGAUGUUAUCAUGAGUAAGCAUUUUCACAUGAUUAAAGGUUUACCGGUGUAAGAUGGGGAUGCGUUCCAUUAGAUAGUAGGCGGGGUAACGGCCCACCUAGUCUUCGAUGGAUAGGGGUUCUGAGAGGAAGGUCCCCCACAUUGGAACUGAGACACGGUCCAAACUCCUACGGGAGGCAGCAGUGAGGAAUAUUGGUCAAUGGACGAGAGUCUGAACCAGCCAAGUAGCGUGAAGGAUGAAGGUUCUAUGGAUUGUAAACUUCUUUUAUACGGGAAUAAACGGAUCCACGUGUGGAUUUCUGCAUGUACCGUAUGAAUAAGGAUCGGCUAACUCCGUGCCAGCAGCCGCGGUAAUACGGAGGAUCCGAGCGUUAUCCGGAUUUAUUGGGUUUAAAGGGAGCGUAGAUGGGUUGUUAAGUCAGUUGUGAAAGUUUGCGGCUCAACCGUAAAAUUGCAAUUGAUACUGGCAGUCUUGAGUACAGUU
This 656-nucleotide ribosomal RNA is filed under the name uncultured bacterium. RNAcentral describes it as "bacterial SSU rRNA". It matches the Rfam family "Bacterial small subunit ribosomal RNA", at positions 8 to 653 of the family's 1533-position model. The record is from RNAcentral.